RNAcentral lists this ribosomal RNA (1665 nucleotides) under Salmonella enterica subsp. enterica serovar Typhimurium. RNAcentral's name for it is "partial 23S ribosomal RNA". It matches the Rfam family "Bacterial large subunit ribosomal RNA", at positions 137 to 1757 of the family's 2925-position model. Lineage: Bacteria; Pseudomonadati; Pseudomonadota; Gammaproteobacteria; Enterobacterales; Enterobacteriaceae. The record is from RNAcentral.
GAUUCGUCACACUAUCAUUAACUGAAUCCAUAGGUUAAUGAGGCGAACCGGGGGAACUGAAACAUCUAAGUACCCCGAGGAAAAGAAAUCAACCGAGAUUCCCCCAGUAGCGGCGAGCGAACGGGGAGGAGCCCAGAGCCUGAAUCAGCAUGUGUGUUAGUGGAAGCGUCUGGAAAGGCGCGCGAUACAGGGUGACAGCCCCGUACACAAAAGCGCAUGUGCUGUGAGCUCGAUGAGUAGGGCGGGACACGUGGUAUCCUGUCUGAAUAUGGGGGGACCAUCCUCCAAGGCUAAAUACUCCUGACUGACCGAUAGUGAACCAGUACCGUGAGGGAAAGGCGAAAAGAACCCCGGCGAGGGGAGUGAAAAAGAACCUGAAACCGUGUACGUACAAGCAGUGGGAGCACCCUUCGGGGUGUGACUGCGUACCUUUUGUAUAAUGGGUCAGCGACUUAUAUUCUGUAGCAAGGUUAACCGUAUAGGGGAGCCGGAGGGAAACCGAGUCUUAAUUGGGCGUUAAGUUGCAGGGUAUAGACCCGAAACCCGGUGAUCUAGCCAUGGGCAGGUUGAAGGUUGGGUAACACUAACUGGAGGACCGAACCGACUAAUGUUGAAAAAUUAGCGGAUGACCUGUGGCUGGGGGUGAAAGGCCAAUCAAACCGGGAGAUAGCUGGUUCUCCCCGAAAGCUAUUUAGGUAGCGCCUCGUGAAUUCAUCUCCGGGGGUAGAGCACUGUUUCGGCUAGGGGGCCAUCCCGGCUUACCAACCCGAUGCAAACUGCGAAUACCGGAGAAUGUUAUCACGGGAGACACACGGCGGGUGCUAACGUCCGUCGUGAAGAGGGAAACAACCCAGACCGCCAGCUAAGGUCCCAAAGUCAUGGUUAAGUGGGAAACGAUGUGGGAAGGCCCAGACAGCCAGGAUGUUGGCUUAGAAGCAGCCAUCAUUUAAAGAAAGCGUAAUAGCUCACUGGUCGAGUCGGCCUGCGCGGAAGAUGUAACGGGGCUAAACCAUGCACCGAAGCUGCGGCAGCGAACGUAUCACCCAAGACAACUUUACGGAGUUGACGAUUGACGGAGCGAAGCGACGUCAAAGCGUUCAUUAAAGUCGAGUUGGCUUAGGGAUACGUUCGUUGGGUAGGGGAGCGUUCUGUAAGCCUGUGAAGGUGUGUCGUGAGGCAUGCUGGAGGUAUCAGAAGUGCGAAUGCUGACAUAAGUAACGAUAAAGCGGGUGAAAAGCCCGCUCGCCGGAAGACCAAGGGUUCCUGUCCAACGUUAAUCGGGGCAGGGUGAGUCGACCCCUAAGGCGAGGCCGAAAGGCGUAGUCGAUGGGAAACGGGUUAAUAUUCCCGUACUUGGUGUUACUGCGAAGGGGGGACGGAGAAGGCUAUGUUGGCCGGGCGACGGUUGUCCCGGUUUAAGCGUGUAGGUGUGUGUUCCAGGUAAAUCCGGUUCACUUUAACACUGAGGCGUGACGACGAGGCACUACGGUGCUGAAGCAACAAAUGCCCUGCUUCCAGGAAAAGCCUCUAAGCAUCAGGUAACACGAAAUCGUACCCCAAACCGACACAGGUGGUCAGGUAGAGAAUACCAAGGCGCUUGAGAGAACUCGGGUGAAGGAACUAGGCAAAAUGGUGCCGUAACUUCGGGAGAAGGCACGCUGACAC